This 2052-nucleotide long non-coding RNA is filed under the name Zostera marina. RNAcentral describes it as "long non-coding RNA (ZMAR_LNC006166)". Lineage: Eukaryota; Viridiplantae; Streptophyta; Magnoliopsida; Alismatales; Zosteraceae. The record is from RNAcentral.
UUCAGCUUUCUGUCGAAUCGUGUUAAUUAGGCCAUAAUUAUCACGAUAAGACCAUUUGUUAGUUGUUACUGCUUUUUUUUAUUAUUAUAAAAAAACAUGCAUUAAAAGAUGUGUAUAUAGAAGUGAAAUGUCCAGAAUUGGAAAUACUAAAACAGGAACUUGCAAAAUCACAGGUUUGUGUAGUUCUGUGUGUACAUAUUAGUCACAUCAGAUCGUCAGAUACUAACCUGUAAAACGACUUCAAGUAGUUGGCGGACAAACCGUCGGACAUGGUAUGGUUGCGGUAUGGUAUCAGUUGCAAUUUAUAACAUACAGACUAAUUUUGUGAAAGCGAAUAAAAGACAAAUUACUUUCAACUUACUGUUUUUCUUCACACUUGAAAACUCAAACCAUUACACAACCAUCAAUCUUCAUUGCUCUUUUUUCUUUGUCACAUUAAUUAACCCAAAUUAAGAUAUUAGCUCAACACAUAACAAUAAUUAUUAAAAUUGUUAGAAUCCAUGAUUUCAUUCUGUACAUCACAAAAAAUUUCAUUUAAUUUACCUAGUCUGUCUCUUUAAUUUCAUUUCAUUUCAUUUAAUUUACCUUGUCUGUCUCUUUAAUUUCUUUUCAUUUAAUUUCAUCACAAAAAUUCUUUCCAUUAGUCUGUCUCUUUAAUCCAAAGAUUUAAAUAUAUAUAAUACAUUGGAUUAAUGUCAAAACGAACCAACUAAGGUGGUCCGGUUGUCAAAACCAACAACCUAUAUUUUGUUGAACGAAAAUUCCAUUGUAAUUAGAGGUAUAAAUGGGCCCGGGUCUGACCUGGACCCGGCCCAAACCCACUUAUCUGGGUCCGGGCCUGGACUACUUUUAGCUUCAUUAAAUGUUUUGGACCCCGAGGUCCGACCAGGUUCAGACCCGACCAGUUAGUAACCCGAGUCCGGGUCCAGAUUAGCCUGACCCGGUCGGACCAGGAACCGGAUAUUAUAAAUGUUAUAAUAUAUAUUUUAUAAUAUAUUAGUAACUUAGGGUUUAAAUAUAAAUAUUUUAAUAUAUAUUUUAUAAUAUAUUAGUAAUAAAUAUAAAUACACCAUUUUUUUUAAAUAACCUUAUUUAAAUUUCAACUAAUUAACUCUUAUUUAAUUAAAUAUUUAACUUUGUUCUUAGUUUUUAGUUGUUACUCUUAUUGACUUAAAUAUUUAGUUGUGUCGUGUUCGUGUCAAAUUUUUUUAACACGAAUCGUGUUUGUGUCAAUGAAAAAAUUAAUCGUGUUCGUGUCGACACGAAUUACUAGAUUUGUAACUCACCCUAGAGGUGACUCUUGUCUACAUGUACUCCUCUUACAUUUCAACUGGUUUGUUUGUUUGCUCACCAGUUCUAUAGAUUCAUAAGGUCCAACAUUCAUGGACUCUUAAACCUCAAUAUAUGAUUUAUCAAACAAAAAGCUUCUAGAAUGCCGCUAAACCCAGCAGGUUUACAAGAAAAUUACCAUGGAUCUAGGCUUAACAUACAAAGAUUGCAAAUUUAAGGCUAACGAUCAGAAUCCUCAUGAUCGACACAUCGAUCAUGAGCAAGGUGUUCGAGUGGUGUUCAUAAGCUUAUGAAAAUCACAUUAAGCUAUACCUUUGUCUGUCUCUAUUGUUUAGAUCUUUUGAUCUAUAUUUGUACUGCUACUGCAGUUUUAUAUCAAUGAUCAAUCCAUUAUAAUCUUAAAAAAAGUUACAAAAUUGGUUCGAUCUCUAGCUUUAUAUUUGGCUCACUUAAAAUCUAUGAGGUCUAUUUUAAAGGAAUUAUCAGAAUCACAUAAUUUGAUUUAUAAUAUACCUUAAUCAUGGUCACAGGACCUAAGAGUAAUUAUCUGUUUAAUAAUACGAGACAGAUAAUAACAAAGAAACUUUGGAUAAAUGUUGCAAAUAUUUAAAUAAAUGAUAUAUUUGUAAUAACAAAGAAACUUUGGGUAAAGAUUGCAAAUAUUUAAGUGAAUGUUAUAUUUGCAAUAACAAAGAAACUCUGGGUAAAGAUUGCAAAUCUCCCAUUAAUGCAGUUGGACUGAAAUCGGAAUGGGCUGUGGAC